UACGGAGGGUGCGAGCGUUGUUCGGAAUCACUGGGCGUAAAGCGCACGUAGGCGGCUUUGCAAGUUAGAGGUGAAAGCCCGGGGCUCAACUCCGGAAUUGCCUUUAAAACUGCAUCGCUAGAAUUGUGGAGAGGUAAGUGGAAUUCCGAGUGUAGAGGUGAAAUUCGUAGAUAUUCGGAAGAACACCAGUGGCGAAGGCGACUUACUGGACACAUAUUGACGCUGAGGUGCGAAAGCGUGGGGAGCAAACAGG
RNAcentral lists this ribosomal RNA (253 nucleotides) under uncultured bacterium. Its description in RNAcentral is "partial 16S ribosomal RNA". It matches the Rfam family "Bacterial small subunit ribosomal RNA", at positions 524 to 776 of the family's 1533-position model. The record is from RNAcentral.